Molecule: long non-coding RNA, 196 nt
Organism: Beta vulgaris subsp. vulgaris (sugar beet)
Lineage: Eukaryota; Viridiplantae; Streptophyta; Magnoliopsida; Caryophyllales; Amaranthaceae
Exons: 3
Source: RefSeq, a predicted model, not a curated record
UUGGAUAUAAGAUCAUUCUUCUUCCUUACAUUGAAUCGAACCAUUGGACACUGAUUGCAAUAUGUUUGUCACGUAACGAAGUCUACCACUUUGAUUCUUUGCGUAAAGGAACAAUACGGUCCUUACUAGUCAAAUCAUUGUUAAAUAGUGUGAUGAAGAAGCGUAGUGCAUCUGGACUUCGACAAGGAAAACCUCC